GACGAACGCUGGCGGCGUGCUUAACACAUGCAAGUCGAACGGAAAGGCCCUGCUUUUGUGGGGUGCUCGAGUGGCGAACGGGUGAGUAACACGUGAGUAACCUGCCCUUGACUUUGGGAUAACUUCAGGAAACUGGGGCUAAUACCGGGUAGGAGCUCCUGCUGCAUGGUGGGGGUUGGAAAGUUUCGGCGGUUGGGGAUGGACUCGCGGCUUAUCAGCUUGUUGGUGGGGUAGUGGCUUACCAAGGCUUUGCCGGGUAGCCGGCCUGAGAGGGUGACCGGCCACAUUGGGACUGAGAUACGGCCCAGACUCCUACGGGAGGCAGCAGUGGGGAAUAUUGCACAAUGGGCGGAAGCCUGAUGCAGCAACGCCGCGUGCGGGAUGACGGCCUUCGGGUUGUAAACCGCUUUCGCCUGUGACGAAGCGUGAGUGACGGUAAUGGGUAAAGAAGCACCGGCUAACUACGUG
This 468-nucleotide ribosomal RNA is filed under the name uncultured bacterium. Its description in RNAcentral is "partial 16S ribosomal RNA". It matches the Rfam family "Bacterial small subunit ribosomal RNA", at positions 28 to 507 of the family's 1533-position model. The record is from RNAcentral.